Molecule: long non-coding RNA, 925 nt
Filed under: Ananas comosus (pineapple)
Lineage: Eukaryota; Viridiplantae; Streptophyta; Magnoliopsida; Poales; Bromeliaceae
Description: long non-coding RNA (ACOM_LNC039796)
Source: RNAcentral
CUCAUUCCAGCCCAUUAAAUAUUAUCAUUUGGGCCCAAUAAAUUAAAGCGGGCCUAAUCAACGACGGCCCACAUCCACAUCAUAUAAAAUAUCGGUUCGAAAUUUGAUUUCAAAUCACAAUCCAUUCAAAAUUCGAUUUUUGAAUUUCGAAUUUCGAACUCCCAACCAAUUCCCAAAAUAUCAUCCAACAACCCAUUCAAAGUUCGAUUUCGAAUUUUGAAUUCCCUAAUAAAUUCCCAAAAUAUCAUCUAACAAUCCAUUCAAAAUUCGAUUUCGAGUUUUGACCCAACAACCCAUUCGAAAUUCGACUUCGAAUUUCGAAUUUCGAAUUUUGAAUUCCCAACCAAUUCUCAAAACAUCCUCCAAUAACCCAUUCGAAAUUCGAUUUCGAAUUUCGAAUUCCCAACCAAUUCCCAAAAUAUCAUCCAACAACCCAUUCGAAAUUCGAUUUCGAAUUUCGAACUUCCAACCAAUUCCCAAAACAUCCUCCAACAACCCAUUCGAAAUUCGAUUUCGAAUUUCGAACUCCCAACCAAUUCCCAAAACAUCAUCCAAUAACCCAUUCAAAAUUCGAUUUCGAAUUUUGAAUUCACUAACCAAUUCCCAAAAUAUCAUGCAACAACUCAUUCGAAAUUCGAUUUCGAAUUUCGAAUUCCCAACCAAUUCCCAAAACAUUCUCCAACAACCAAUUCAAGAUUUGAUUUCAAAUUUCGAAUCAAUCCUCAAAAUACCCUCCAACCAUCCAACAACCCAUUCAAAAUUCGAUUUCGAAUUUUAAAUUUUCAACCAAUCCCAAAUAUCUUUCAACCAACCACAACAACCUAUUCAAAAUUCAAUUUUGAAUUUCGAAUCCCUCAAAAUAUCUCUCACCACCCCUCCCAUUAUAAAUACGAGAAUCGAGAUCAAUACGGGGGACGAUACGAUU